GACGAACGCUGGCGGCGUGCUUAACACAUGCAAGUCAAACGGAAAGGCCCUGCUUUUGUGGGGUGCUCGAGUGGCGAACGGGUGAGUAACACGUGAGUAACCUGCCCUUGACUUUGGGAUAACUUCAGGAAACUGGGGCAAAUACCGGAUAGGAGCUCCUGCUGCAUGGUGGGGGUUGGAAAGUUUCGGCGGUUGGGGAUGGACUCGCGGCUUAUCAGCUUGUUGGUGGGGUAGUGGCUUACCAAGGCUUUGACGGGUAGCCGGCCUGAGAGGGUGACCGGCCACAUUGGGACUGAGAUACGGCCCAGACUCCUACGGGAGGCAGCAGUGGGGAAUAUUGCACAAUGGGCGGAAGCCUGAUGCAGCAACGCCGCGUGCGGGAUGACGGCCUUCGGGUUGUAAACCGCUUUCGCCUGUGACGAAGCGUGAGUGACGGUAAUGGGUAAAGAAGCACCGGCUAACUACGUG
RNAcentral lists this ribosomal RNA (468 nucleotides) under uncultured bacterium. Its description in RNAcentral is "partial 16S ribosomal RNA". It matches the Rfam family "Bacterial small subunit ribosomal RNA", at positions 28 to 507 of the family's 1533-position model. The record is from RNAcentral.